Molecule: small nucleolar RNA, 83 nt
Organism: Rhea pennata
Lineage: Eukaryota; Metazoa; Chordata; Aves; Rheiformes; Rheidae
Product: small nucleolar RNA SNORD11
Exons: 1
Source: RefSeq, a predicted model, not a curated record
GUAGUCUGUGAUGUAGUUCUCAACUGGCCCAGAUUCUUUUCAGAACAUGAGGGCAACUUUAGUCACUACCUCUUCUGAGAUGC